GUUUCUUUCCAAGGGUGCAAGAAAUCUUACAAUAUUACAGUCUAAUGCCAAUUCACGAGCUGAAAAAAAAAUCUUCCAACAAAAUUUCAAUAGAAAAGGCAAAUUAACACAGUCAUAGCCGAUAAAUGGACAAGUAAGCUACAAACCGAAAUGAAAGAAAACUCCACUCUUAAAUUCUGCAAUACAACAGAACUCAAAAUACACCAG
Molecule: long non-coding RNA, 207 nt
Filed under: Mytilus galloprovincialis (Mediterranean mussel)
Lineage: Eukaryota; Metazoa; Mollusca; Bivalvia; Mytilida; Mytilidae
Source: RNAcentral